This 151-nucleotide non-coding RNA is filed under the name Lepisosteus oculatus (spotted gar). RNAcentral describes it as "Eukaryotic large subunit ribosomal RNA". It matches the Rfam family "Eukaryotic large subunit ribosomal RNA", at positions 3009 to 3159 of the family's 3401-position model. Lineage: Eukaryota; Metazoa; Chordata; Actinopteri; Semionotiformes; Lepisosteidae. The record is from Rfam by way of RNAcentral.
UGUUGCAAUAAUAAUCCUGCUCGGUACGAGAGAAACCACAGGUUCACGCAUCUGGUGUCUGUGCUUGGCUGAGAAGCCAGUGGGACGAAGCUACCAUCUGCAGAAUUAGGACAGAACGCCUCUCAGCCAGAAUCCACUCUCAAAGGUCAUA